This 429-nucleotide ribosomal RNA is filed under the name Actinomycetes bacterium. RNAcentral's name for it is "Actinobacteria bacterium partial 16S ribosomal RNA". It matches the Rfam family "Bacterial small subunit ribosomal RNA", at positions 355 to 776 of the family's 1533-position model. Lineage: Bacteria; Bacillati; Actinomycetota; Actinomycetes. The record is from RNAcentral.
UAGGGAAUCUUCCGCAAUGGGCGAAAGCUUGACGGAGCAACGCCGCGUGAGUGAUGAAGGUCUUCGGAUCGUAAAACUCUGUUAUUAGGGAAGAACAAAUGUGUAAGUAACUAUGCACGUCUUGACGGUACCUAAUCAGAAAGCCACGGCUAACUACGUGCCAGCAGCCGCGGUAAUACGUAGGUGGCAAGCGUUAUCCGGAAUUAUUGGGCGUAAAGCGCGCGUAGGCGGUUUUUUAAGUCUGAUGUGAAAGCCCACGGCUCAACCGGGGGGGGUCGUUGGAAACGGGAGAGCUUGAGGGCAGAAGAGGAAAGUGGAAUUGCAUGUGUAGCGGUGAAAUGCGCAGAGAUAUGGAGGAACACCAGUGGCGAAGGCGACUUUCUGGUCUGUAACUGACGCUGAUGUGCGAAAGCGUGGGGAUCAAACAGG